GGGGGGGGGGGGGGGGGGGGGUGGGGGGGGGGGGGGGGGGGGGGGGGCGGUGCGGGUGUGGGGUGCGCGGGUGGCGGACGGGGGGGGGGCACGGGGGUAGCCUGCCCUGGACUUUGGGAUAACUUCGGGCAGCUGGGGCUAAGGCCGGCUAGGAGGUCCGGCUGCAUGGUGGGGGUGGGGGCGUUUCGGCGGGUGGGGAUGGACUCGCGGCUUAUCAGCUUGUUGGUGGGGUAGUGGCUUACAAAGGCUUUGACGGGUAGCCGGCCUGAGAGGGUGACCGGCCACAUUGGGACUGAGAUACGGCCCAGACUCCUACGGGAGGCAGCAGUGGGGAAUAUUGCACAAUGGGCGGAAGCCUGAUGCAGCAACGCCGCGUGCGGGAUGACGGCCUUCGGGUUGUAAACCGCUUUCGCCUGUGACGAAGCGUGAGUGACGGUAAUGGGUAAAGAAGCACCGGCUAACUACGUG
RNAcentral lists this ribosomal RNA (468 nucleotides) under uncultured bacterium. RNAcentral describes it as "partial 16S ribosomal RNA". It matches the Rfam family "Bacterial small subunit ribosomal RNA", at positions 38 to 507 of the family's 1533-position model. The record is from RNAcentral.